This 46-nucleotide non-coding RNA is filed under the name Schistosoma mansoni. The record is from RNAcentral. RNAcentral also lists the same sequence under 1 other name. Lineage: Eukaryota; Metazoa; Platyhelminthes; Trematoda; Strigeidida; Schistosomatidae.
UCAUUGUUGAGGAGUCCCACAAUAGGACGAAACGGCCGUCCAGUGC